Molecule: ribosomal RNA, 492 nt
Filed under: uncultured bacterium
Lineage: Bacteria
Description: bacterial SSU rRNA
Rfam family: Bacterial small subunit ribosomal RNA
Source: RNAcentral
AACGAACGCUGGCGGCGUGCCUAACACAUGCAAGUCGAACGCGAAAAGGAGCAAUCCUGAGUAGAGUGGCGCACGGGUGAGUAACACGUAACUGACCUGCCCCAAGUUCUGGGAUAACCGUUCGAAAGGAUGGCUAAUACUGGAUAAGCCCACGGGUUCAUACCUGAGGGAAAAGACCGGGACCUUACGAGGCCGGUCGACAUGGGAGGGGGUUGCGGCCCAUCAGCUAGUUGGUGAGGUAACGGCUCACCAAGGCAAAGACGGGUAGCUGGUCUGAGAGGAUGAUCAGCCACACUGGAACUGAGACACGGUCCAGACUCCUACGGGAGGCAGCAGUGGGGAAUCUUGCGCAAUGGGGGAAACCCUGACGCAGCAACGCCGCGUGAGUGAUGAAGGUCUUCGGAUCGUAAAGCUCUGUCGGCAGGGGCAAUGCUUAUUUCGUCUAACAGAUGGAGUAGGUGAUGGUACCUGCAAAGGAAGCACCGGCUAACU